CUGUUUCGCUGACGAGUGGCGGACGGGUGAGUAAUGUCGUAGGGAAACUGCCUGAUGGAGGGGGAUAACUACUAGGAAACGGUAGCUAAUACCGCAUAACGUCGCAAGACCAAAGGAGGGGGACCCUCGGGCCUCUUGCCAUCGGAUGUCGCCCAGAGUGGGAUUAGCUUGUUGGUGGGGUAACGGCUCACCAAGGCGACGAUCCCUAGCUGGUCUGAGAGGAUGACCAGCCACACUGGAACUGAGACACGGUCCAGACUCCUACGGGAGGCAGCAGUGGGGAAUAUUGCACAAUGGGCGCAAGCCUGAUGCAGCCAUGCCGCGUGUAUGAAGAAGGCCUUCGGUUGUAAAGUACUUUCAGCGGGGAGGAAGGGAGUAAAGUUAAUACCUUUGCUCAUUGACGUUACCCGCAGAAGAAGCACCGGCUAACUCCGUG
This 436-nucleotide ribosomal RNA is filed under the name uncultured bacterium. Its description in RNAcentral is "bacterial SSU rRNA". It matches the Rfam family "Bacterial small subunit ribosomal RNA", at positions 80 to 507 of the family's 1533-position model. The record is from RNAcentral.